This 476-nucleotide ribosomal RNA is filed under the name Penicillium spinulosum. RNAcentral's name for it is "eukaryotic LSU rRNA". The stretch from base 115 to 268 matches the Rfam family "5.8S ribosomal RNA". Lineage: Eukaryota; Fungi; Ascomycota; Eurotiomycetes; Eurotiales; Aspergillaceae. The record is from RNAcentral.
GGUGCGCCCGCCUCACGGCCGCCGGGGGGCUUCUGCCCCCGGGUCCGCGCGCACCGGAGACACCAUUGAACUCUGUCUGAAGAUUGCAGUCUGAGCAUAAACUAAAUAAGUUAAAACUUUCAACAACGGAUCUCUUGGUUCCGGCAUCGAUGAAGAACGCAGCGAAAUGCGAUAACUAAUGUGAAUUGCAGAAUUCAGUGAAUCAUCGAGUCUUUGAACGCACAUUGCGCCCCCUGGUAUUCCGGGGGGCAUGCCUGUCCGAGCGUCAUUGCUGCCCUCAAGCACGGCUUGUGUGUUGGGCUCCGUCCCCCCGGGGACGGGUCCGAAAGGCAGCGGCGGCACCGAGUCCGGUCCUCGAGCGUAUGGGGCUUUGUCACCCGCUCUGUAGGCCCGGCCGGCGCCAGCCGACAACCAAUCAUCCUUUUUCAGGUUGACCUCGGAUCAGGUAGGGAUACCCGCUGAACUUAAGCAUAUCA